RNAcentral lists this ribosomal RNA (508 nucleotides) under uncultured bacterium. RNAcentral's name for it is "bacterial SSU rRNA". It matches the Rfam family "Bacterial small subunit ribosomal RNA", at positions 28 to 540 of the family's 1533-position model. The record is from RNAcentral.
GACGAACGCUGGCGGCGUGCCUAACACAUGCAAGUCGAGCGGGGUUGAAGCGAGAGGUAACUCGAACUUCUACCUAGCGGCGGACGGGUGAGUAACGCGUGGGCAACCUGCCUCAAGGUCUGGGAUAACAGCCCGAAAGGGCUGCUAAUACUGGGUAUGCUUGUGGCCUCGCAUGGGGCUAUGAGCAAAGGGGAAACCCGCCUUGAGAUGGGCCCGCGUCCCAUCAGCUAGUUGGUGAGGUAACAGCUCACCAAGGCGACGACGGGUAGCCGGCCUGAGAGGGUGACCGGCCACACUGGGACUGAGACACGGCCCAGACUCCUACGGGGGGCAGCAGUGGGGGAUCUUGCACAAUGGGCGAAAGCCUGAUGCAGCGACGCCGCGUGAGCGAAGAAGGCCUUCGGGUUGUAAAGCUCUGUCUGGAGGGACGAAGGAAGUGACGGUACCUCCGGAGGAAGCCACGGCUAACUACGUGCCAGCAGCCGCGGUAAAUACACGUCGUACUACG